UUUUGGCUAUGAUGAUCAGAUUCACAGCUUUAAAUGCCAGUUCUGCUUCAGAAAAUUCUUGAUUGAUAAAGCUGUUUAUUCCUGAGCUCAAA
Amaranthus tricolor (Joseph's coat) is the source of this 92-nucleotide small nucleolar RNA. NCBI's taxonomy places the organism in Eukaryota, Viridiplantae, Streptophyta, Magnoliopsida, Caryophyllales, Amaranthaceae. The record is from RefSeq and is a predicted model, not a curated record.